Myotis brandtii (Brandt's bat) is the source of this 479-nucleotide non-coding RNA. The record is from the annotation of a RefSeq genome assembly. Lineage: Eukaryota; Metazoa; Chordata; Mammalia; Chiroptera; Vespertilionidae.
AGUGCCUGAGACAGGACCCCAGCAGCUCCACCAUGGACUUGGUGCCAAGCUGCCUUUUCCUCCUGAUCAUUUUUCAAGGUGUCCAGUGUGAGGUGCAGCUGGUGGAGUCUGGGGGAGGCUUGGUGCGGCCUGGGGGGACUCUGAGACUCUCCUGUGCAGCCUCUGGAUUCACCUUCAGUAGCUACCACAUGAACUGGGUCCGCCAGCCUCCAGGGAAGGGACUGGAGAGAAUUUGUGCCAUUAAUGGUAAUGGUGGUAGCACACACUACGCAGACUCUGUGAAGGGCCGAUUCACCAUCUCCAGGGACAACGCCAAGAACACACUGUAUCUGCAAAUGAACAGCCUGAGAGCCGAGGACACAGCCGUGUAUUACUGUGCUAGAGAGACACAAGACAUGUCCAAGAACCAGUUCGCCCUGCAGCUGAGCUCUGUGACCACUGAAGAAACUGCCAUGUAUUACUUGCAAGAGACACAGUGA